Molecule: ribosomal RNA, 468 nt
Filed under: uncultured bacterium
Lineage: Bacteria
Description: partial 16S ribosomal RNA
Rfam family: Bacterial small subunit ribosomal RNA
Source: RNAcentral
GAUGAACGCUGGCGGCGUGCUUAACACAUGCAAGUCGAACGGAAAGGCCCAAGCUUGCUUGGGUACUCGAGUGGCGAACGGGUGAGUAACACGUGGGUGAUCUGCCCUGCACUUCGGGAUAAGCCUGGGAAACUGGGUCUAAUACCGGAUAGGACGAUGGUUUGGAUGCCAUUGUGGAAAGUUUUUUCGGUGUGGGAUGAGCUCGCGGCCUAUCAGCUUGUUGGUGGGGUAAUGGCCUACCAAGGCGUCGACGGGUAGCCGGCCUGAGAGGGUGUACGGCCACAUUGGGACUGAGAUACAGCCCAGACUCCUACGGGAGGCAGCAGGGGGGAAUAUUGCACAAUGGGCGCAAGCCUGAUGCAGCGACGCCGCGUGGGGGAUGACGGCCUUCGGGUUGUAAACUCCUUUCGCUAGGGACGAAGCGUUUUUGUGACGGUACCUGGAGAAGAAGCACCGGCUAACUACGUG